UAACACUAACUGGAGGACCGAACCGACUAAUGUUGAAAAAUUAGCGGAUGACCUGUGGCUGGGGGUGAAAGGCCAAUCAAACCGGGAGAUAGCUGGUUCUCCCCGAAAGCUAUUUAGGUAGCGCCUCGUGAAUUCAUCUCCGGGGGUAGAGCACUGUUUCGGCUAGGGGGCCAUCCCGGCUUACCAACCCGAUGCAAACUGCGAAUACCGGAGAAUGUUAUCACGGGAGACACACGGCGGGUGCUAACGUCCGUCGUGAAGAGGGAAACAACCCAGACCGCCAGCUAAGGUCCCAAAGUCAUGGUUAAGUGGGAAACGAUGUGGGAAGGCCCAGACAGCCAGGAUGUUGGCUUAGAAGCAGCCAUCAUUUAAAGAAAGCGUAAUAGCUCACUGGUCGAGUCGGCCUGCGCGGAAGAUGUAACGGGGCUAAACCAUGCACCGAAGCUGCGGCAGCGACGCUUAUGCGUUGUUGGGUAGGGGAGCGUUCUGUAAGCCUGUGAAGGUGGCCUGUGAGGGUUGCUGGAGGUAUCA
This 531-nucleotide ribosomal RNA is filed under the name Salmonella enterica subsp. enterica serovar Paratyphi B var. L(+) tartrate +. Its description in RNAcentral is "partial 23S ribosomal RNA". It matches the Rfam family "Bacterial large subunit ribosomal RNA", at positions 757 to 1284 of the family's 2925-position model. The record is from RNAcentral. Lineage: Bacteria; Pseudomonadati; Pseudomonadota; Gammaproteobacteria; Enterobacterales; Enterobacteriaceae.